GAUGAAGAACGCAGCGAAAUGCGAUAAGUAGUGUGAAUUGCAGAAUUCAGUGAAUCAUCGAAUCUUUGAACGCACAUUGCGCCCCUUGGUAUUCCAUGGGGCAUGCCUGUUCGAGCGUCAUUUGUACCUUCAAGUUUUGCUUGGUGUUGGGUGUUUGUCUCGCCUUUGCGUGUAGACUCGCCUUAAAAUAAUUGGCAGCCGGCGUAUUGAUUUCGGAGCGCAGUACAUCUCGCGCUUUGCACUCAUAACGACAGCGUCCAAAAGUACAUUUUACACUCUUGACCUCGGAUCAGGUAGGGAUACCCGCUGAACUUAAGCAUAUCAAUAAGCGGAGGA
Molecule: unclassified non-coding RNA, 336 nt
Filed under: soil metagenome
Description: partial contains 5.8S ribosomal RNA, internal transcribed spacer 2, and large subunit ribosomal RNA
Rfam family: 5.8S ribosomal RNA (bases 1-120)
Source: RNAcentral